This 478-nucleotide ribosomal RNA is filed under the name uncultured bacterium. Its description in RNAcentral is "partial 16S ribosomal RNA". It matches the Rfam family "Bacterial small subunit ribosomal RNA", at positions 28 to 523 of the family's 1533-position model. The record is from RNAcentral.
GACGAACGCUGGCGGCGUGCUUAACACAUGCAAGUCGAACGGUAAGGCCCUUCGGGGUACACGAGUGGCGAACGGGUGAGUAACACGUGGGUGAUCUGCCCUGCACUUCGGGAUAAGCCUGGGAAACUGGGUCUAAUACCGGAUAGGACCACUGCCGGCAUGGGCGGUGGUGGAAAGCUUUUGCGGUGUGGGAUGGGCCCGCGGCCUAUCAGCUUGUUGGUGGGGUGAUGGCCUACCAAGGCGACGACGGGUAGCCGGCCUGAGAGGGUGACCGGCCACACUGGGACUGAGAUACGGCCCAGACUCCUACGGGAGGCAGCAGUGGGGAAUAUUGCACAAUGGGCGCAAGCCUGAUGCAGCGACGCCGCGUGAGGGAUGACGGCCUUCGGGUUGUAAACCUCUUUCAGCACCGACGAAGCGCAAGUGACGGUAGGUGCAGAAGAAGGACCGGCCAACUACGUGCCAGCAGCCGCGGUAA